This 448-nucleotide ribosomal RNA is filed under the name Noumeaella rehderi. Its description in RNAcentral is "partial 16S ribosomal RNA". It matches the Rfam family "Archaeal large subunit ribosomal RNA", at positions 1902 to 2665 of the family's 2987-position model. The record is from RNAcentral. Lineage: Eukaryota; Metazoa; Mollusca; Gastropoda; Nudibranchia; Facelinidae.
AAAACAUAGCCAUCAGAUAGUAUUGGUGGUUUAACCUGCCCAAUGUUAGAAAUAAUGAAUGGCCGCGGUACCCUGACCGUGCUAAGGUAGCGUAAUCAGUUGGCUUUUAAAUGGAGUCAGGAAUGAAUGGGAAAACUGGGUCUAGCUGUCUCCUAGUUAAUCUAUUGAAUUUACUAUUUAGGUGAAAAAGCCUAAAGUGGAAAAAGGGACGAGAAGACCCUUAGAAUUUUUUUUAAAAAGAAUGAAGAUUUUUCUUUAUGAUUUUGUUGGGGCGAUAUAGAAAUAUUUAAAACUUUCUUUUAAUUACAAGCCGAUCUUUUUAAGUGAGAAUAAAUUACCUGAGGGAUAACAGCAUUAUUCUAAAAUUGAGUUUGUGACCUCGAUGUUGGACUAGGAAACUAACAGGCUAGCCGUUUGUUGUGUGAGUUCUGUUCGAACUGUAAUUCCU